Callorhinus ursinus (northern fur seal) is the source of this 3079-nucleotide non-coding RNA. The record is from RefSeq and is a predicted model, not a curated record. Lineage: Eukaryota; Metazoa; Chordata; Mammalia; Carnivora; Otariidae.
ACACAAGUGCGCCCCCCGCGAGCAGAGGAAUCCCGCCGCACCUCUGUUCCCUGAACUCUGAGAGCUCUGGGAGUUCUUCAGUCACCUGACCAGGGGCAGGGUCUUCCUGAAGGACUAAAUUCUCACAAGAUCUUAGAUAAUACAUAUAUUUUCAAACCUUUUAAUUGAUACCAGAAUCUCUUAUACUGCAACUACAGGUAUUCAAUAAAUGUAUGUUUUCUCAGUUCAUUUGAAUCAUGGGCACACAGUGUUUUAUCCUUUUUUAGAUAAACAUCAGCCAAGCUGAAACUCUAGGCUGGCUUCCUUCUGCUUUCGAAUAAGAGCGGUUAAGAGAGAAGCCAGAAGGUUUUUUCCAGUGAUUUGUAUAUAGGUUUGUAAAUUUUUUUUCUUUUGGUUUUUUUCACUUCUUUGGAAGCUCACUUUUAUAUUUGCUUUUUUAUUUGCAGAAAUCAUACUUUUAAUCCUUGCAAGAAUAGAUUUAAUGCAGACCUUGCAUUUAUCUCUUUACAGGGUUGAUCUCCACAAUCUGUUUCUGCUACUGUAUAGGCUUUGGAGGGAAUCUAUGGCAGACUCUCUCAAAGAUCAUUAUGCUUUCUCCUGUGGUCAUGAGACACUGACUUCCUAAUCAUUAUGGCAUUUGCAGACAUUAUCAGAGCUUUUUCUGUAUUGCCCCGAGUCUCAUAAAAAUUUCCACCCUAUCAAUUUCUCUUAAACAACACCUUAUAAGCUCCUUCCCACUCAAUCCCCAGCUACUCAAAAUGCCCACUCACUAUCUUCCAUUGCACAGAUCACAUUUUGCAUUGGUUUCAAAACAUUUCUUAGCUUAGUCUUUAGCUCUUCAGACUUCUUGUGUUAAAUAAAUGACUGCAUUUCCCUCAAGACCGCUGCCCUGCGGGUAUUUAACUAUGGGAAGAAUCAAUGCCCAAACCAUCCCUGACGCUCCAGGGCAAAGGCAAUUACGAUAAAAUCGCUCACUGCACACUUGAAGGAAAAGGGAGAUUUUUGGAAGCACGAUCCUGUUCCUAAAGCCAGAAAGACAAUGUCUUUGCAAAAGCAAGACUGCUUUAUCAAGGGCAACACACUCUCCAGGCCAGUGUUCUGGAACUCCUGAUGCCCCUCAGGCAAGGGUAUCAAAGAAAUGAAUGCAGUUUGAAAGAAGCGAGGGGCUUGGCCGUGCUCACCUUAGAAACGCCGUGAUCCAACGGGACUUGUCCUGUUACACCCCUCCUGGUGAUGCUUCACGUCACCACUGUGAUUCUCUUGACGAGGUGCAAUUUCUAAUAGCCAUUAAGAAAAAAGUAGUGAGAGACCAGAAUUGGCCAAAAGCAAAUUGCUGAACUACCACUUCCUACUUAAAAGUAACGCCUAUUUGCCCAAAUGCAGAAGAUUAACCAUGUAUAACCUGUGGGGUAUAAAAUAAUCAUAUGACUCCCUGGAAGCCAAGUCACGCCUGAGGAGGAGCUGAGGAGAGGUUCAGGACCUGGGUGGCGGUGCUCCUCACAGUGACUUCGAGCUGCUUCUCCACUUGUGGCAACGGUGUGUGCUCAGACCUUCUCACUCCUGUGCCUAAUUAUUUCCCAUGAGCAAGGAAGGACACUUUGCAAACUGCCUGGGAAGGCGUAGACGUGUUUGGGAACGGGUACAUGAGACUGUGGUUAGGGCAGCCCCUGGAGCCCCUGUGCCUGGAUUUCCCCCAAAAUCUGUGCACCCGCAGGUAGGCUCCUGACCCUGUGGGGACUCCACAGUUCCUUCUUCUGUCAGAUUAACGGCCGAGUGGCUCUUGCCUCAGAGUGUCCUGAGAAAUACGGGGUGGAUCCUUGGGAAGCAGGGAGAACGGCGCUCACCCAGAGCAGGCUCUCAACGAAUAUGAGCUAUUGUUGUGUGAUUUAGGCCGUAAAUACAAGUCCCUAAAAGCUGGGCGCGUGAUCUUUACGAGAUGGCAGGUAACAGAUCUGAGUGCCUUGCGUUAGAGGUAGCAACUGAUGAUUUGCUUGGGGAACUCAUUUUUAGGUGUGAGUGAUUUAAAAAAUGCAAAAAAAAAAAAAGGAAAGGAAGAAGGAGAAAGAGUUCUGGAAUCAUAAAGGUGUUGGUCAUCAUAAAGUGUGCUGCUGUGAAUCGAGUCUCAGGAAAUACCAAAUGUUUUACAGCAAAGGGACACAGAGAUCAAUGCAAGCCAGGACCGGACCAGCUGGGGCUGCCAGGCCCACAGAGCCGAGCAUCUCUGCUUCCUCCCUGAGCUCACUGGGCGCCCACAACCGCUCGGGGCUCACCCUGCAUAUCGGGCUCGGAUGCUAGUCAGCCUUCACGCCUUCCCAUAGACUCCUGAACCCUGCUUGUCCCUGACCCCGAGCGAGCAUGUCCCCUUGUCAGCUUCUCUUGGGAACUGGCUGACCACAGCAGGUCGUUUUUCCUGGCAGAACAGGUCAUUCCCUUUGUCCAGCUGUCCCCCCUCCCCAACAGUCUGCUUCUCCUGUUUCUUCCCCUGACCCUGUAGAAGAAAAGCCUUCUUCUGUUUGAUUCUGAGCCACUCACAGACCUUAUGGUCACAGGGAGACCCACUGCCAUUGUCCCUACCUGACAAGAGUCCUUUUGAAUAAAAAUCUCUCCAUACUAAGUCCCGAGGUGUUGCUCUUUGACAGAGCUUGAGAUGUCCAUCUAUGCAGGGUGCCCUAUCCCCUCUUCUGUGUGAGAGGAACCCCUCUGUGUGACUUCCCUCUUCGUCCCUGCCCCGCAGCAGGCUGAUGGUUGCUGGAGACAAAAGGGAGCACCUUUUGCUCUUCCUCCCUCCUUUACCUCAUCAUCUUCCCCCUUCACCACUUCCCCCAACCUCUGAGGUUCUGCUUCUUGCUGUGCGUGGAAGCUCCUGGAAGACCUGCCUGCUAGGGGCCUCAAACCCCUCACAGAGGAAGACACAGCUCCCCUGGGGAAUUGGGGAAUGCAUGCAUCCUGCACUCUCUUCCCAGUCCCACUAACAUCCCCUUUGAUGGCCUUGUUCGGCAGGCAGGUGGAGAAGUCAGCCCUUUCAUAGCAAUUACAGCCCUGGACUUGGUCUGCCUAAAAAAAAAAAAAAAAAAAAAAA